This 253-nucleotide ribosomal RNA is filed under the name uncultured bacterium. Its description in RNAcentral is "partial 16S ribosomal RNA". It matches the Rfam family "Bacterial small subunit ribosomal RNA", at positions 524 to 776 of the family's 1533-position model. The record is from RNAcentral.
UACGAAGGGGGCUAGCGUUGCUCGGAAUUACUGGGCGUAAAGGGCGCGUAGGCGGACCUGUCAGUCAGGCGUGAAAGCCCAGGGCUCAACCCUGGAACUGCGCUUGAUACUGCGGGUCUAGAGUACCGGAGAGGAUGGUGGAAUUCCCAGUGUAGAGGUGAAAUUCGUAGAUAUUGGGAAGAACACCGGUGGCGAAGGCGGCCAUCUGGACGGUAACUGGCGCUGAGGCGCGAAAGCGUGGGGAGCAAACAGG